RNAcentral lists this ribosomal RNA (567 nucleotides) under uncultured archaeon. Its description in RNAcentral is "bacterial SSU rRNA". It matches the Rfam family "Archaeal small subunit ribosomal RNA", at positions 312 to 879 of the family's 1478-position model. The record is from RNAcentral.
CGCGAAUCGCCCUUCGGGGUGCCCAGGCGCGAAACCUUUACACUGCGGGAAACCGCGAUAAGGGGACCCCGAGUGCCAGCACCUAGGUGCUGGCUGUCCCGCUGUCUAAACAACAGUGGUUAGCAAGGGCCGGGCAAGACCGGUGCCAGCCGCCGCGGUAACACCGGCGGCCCGAGUGGUAGCCGCUAUUAUUGGGUUUAAAGGGCCCGUAGCCGGCCUAUUAAGUCUCUUGGGAAAUCUGGCGGCUUAAUCGUCAGGCGUCCAAGAGAUACUGGUAGGCUUGGGACCGGGAGAGGUGGGAGGUACUCCAGGGGUAGGGGUGAAAUCUCGUAAUCCUUGGGGGACCACCGAUGGCGAAGGCAUCCCACCAGAACGGGUCCGACGGUGAGGGACGAAAGCUGGGGGCACGAACCGGAUUAGAUACCCGGGUAGUCCCAGCUGUAAACGAUGCUCGCUAGGUGUCAGGUGCGGUGCGACCGCAUCUGGUGCCGCAGUGAAAACUUGAAGCGAGUCACCUGGGAAGUACGGUCGCAAGGCUGAAACUUAAAGGAAUUGGCGGGGGAGCAC